Molecule: RNA transcript, 8668 nt
Organism: Prionailurus viverrinus (fishing cat)
Lineage: Eukaryota; Metazoa; Chordata; Mammalia; Carnivora; Felidae
Gene name: KIAA0753 ortholog
Exons: 22
Source: RefSeq, a predicted model, not a curated record
GGGAGGUUGGUCCUGGGUUGUAGAUGGAGGCGCAGGCCGUAGGGGUGUCUUGGGGAUCUGGGACAGAUGCUUUGUGGAGGCUUCCUGGGUCUAUCGGGUGACAAGUUAGGAGGUGUCCUGGAGCAGUGGGGAAGGGACAGGUUGCAGAGAGAGGGGCGUCCCAGUAAUGUGUAUAGGGGAACAGUGGGGUGGGUGUCACUGGACUCUGUGUACGUGUGUGUGUGUGUGUGUGUGUGUGUGUGUCAGUCACUCGAGGUAUCCUGCAACGGGGGGCCGGGGCGGGGGGGGGGGGGGUGGUCACCUAGUGUUUCCGUAGUGCAGCCCUGAGUCCUAGGCCUUUGGCUUCUGGGGAAAGUGUCGGCCACAUAGAACUCGCAGGGGCCCCGGCCCCAGCUCUGCGGGCUCCUCCGUUCUGCGGCGGCUGCCCUGGACUGUGGUGACCGUGGUGACAAAAGCCAGCGGGACUGCCUCACCCCCGUGCCCUCCCGUCUUCGUUGUCGCUCUCGUCUCUGCAGCUGUGGGAACAGGGAAUCUUGAACAGCUGCCCUUCUGUUCCUACACGUGUAUCUGUCUUGAAGCAAAUCCAGUCUACAGACCUUGGGUUUACUCAAAAGCUUAAAUUAGGGAUUUUUUUUUUUUAAACCUGGAUUUCCCAAUUGAUUUGCUGUAGGAUUCUUUGAGAGCACAAACACACCAGUACGUCUAAAAUGAAUCGGUUUGUGGAAAAUCAGCUUAAUUCAACAGACGUUGAGCUCAAUUAUCUGCUCUGCUCAAAACCCUGUAUCGUGGGGAAUCUCAGAGCAGCAGGACCGGGCCCGGCCCCCCGGGAAGUUGGCAUAGCUGGAAGGCUGGGGCCUGGCCUUGAAGUAGGUCAAUAACAGAGACCGGUGUGUGGUCGGCACGCCACGAGGCAGGCGUGAUCGGCGUCUGAGGAGGCGGUCCGAGACAGCGGGGAGGAUUCCAAAAGGGAAGACGCUUUUGUGGAGGACCCUGGCCGGUACCUUCCCGGAGCACCCGCUGGCGAUGACCGAUGACCGAUGCCCGUAGGUGGGCUCUCGCCAGCGCUCCGCCCUCUGACGGAACGGGCCGGGGCAGGUCGGCUCCCCGCCGUGCUCAUCUAGCCUGGCGUCCCACUGGACGGGAGGAGUGAGCAGCCAGCGCCAGACCCAGGUACUUCUGUCGUCUUGUCUUCAGGUUUUUAGCGCGACGCGUUUGGAACAGAAGCUGCAAGAAAAAGACGGCCAACGCCUUUUAAACCACCUUCGAGAUCCGACACUUUGAGCGGCGUGUGCUGUUCUGCCCUCCGGUGUUUGGGGAGCCGUUUCAAAGCCAGCUGCGGCCGUCAGCACACUCCACUGCUAAGUGUUUUAGAGCACUCUUGCUUACGCACUAUCACACCUAAGAAAAUGGACAAAGGCGAUUCCGUAACAUCACUUAAUAACCAGUUACCGUCCGGCUUCACCUGGUCGCUACCGAAAUACGUUUCCCUCCGACAGCGAACUUAGGAAAAUCUUCACACAGCAAAGCCGAGUUCUACAGGGAACGCCCGAGUUCCGUUACUGUCCACUAGUUUCCUUGCGUGUCUGUUCUCCAGUCUGUCCUCCGCAAUCCACUCACCGGCGCGUCGCACGUUCUGAAAUGCACAGCGUGAGCUGCAGACCCGGCGCCGUGCGGAGUCGCCCUCCAGAACUGACCCUUGGAACUUACUCUCGGAAUUUCCGCUUUCCCUCGAUGCAAACUUUAGGUCUGAGUUGGAUACCUCAGAAUGUACACAUCUUGUCACGUUUGCUGAGUUUAGACCAACGUGUACACAGGUGUCACUCGUGCCUCUGUCAAGAUAGAGAUCUUUUCCAUGGCUCCAGAAAGUUCUCUCACGCCCCUUCCUACCCUUCGCAGGCAGCCAUUCUGGUUCUUUCCACCGUGGGUUAAUUUUGCCCAUUCUAAGUAGAACCAUAUCGCGCCUACUCUUUGACGUAAGGCUUCUUUCAGUGGGUGUGACCCUCUCUCUGUCCUUACGUGGGUCGUGGUCUGUUGCUUUGUAACAAGCCAACCUCUCGUGUGGGUCUUUACAGGUGGAGCUGCCGUGGACAUUCUUGUACACGUUUGUAAACAUGUUUGCGUUUCUGUUGUGUAAAUGCCCGGGAGUGAGAUCGCCGGGUCACAAGGCAGGGGUGUGUUUAGUUUUCUAACAAACCAGCGGACCUUUCUCCUGGGCUGUGCCGCUUCCCGUCCCUACCGGCGGCGAUGGGCACCCUGGCCCCUUUGCCAGCCCGGCGGUGUUUGUGUUCAUUAGGGCCGUUCUGGUGAGCGUGGCGUAACUGCUCCGUGUGGUUUUCACCCAGGAAAGUUACAGCGGCCGUACCCAGAAUUCCUGGGUGCCCCGCUCCUACUCCCGGAUUCCCCACAUGCUAACACUUCUGUUACGUUUUCCCUCCCUCCCUCCCUCCCUCCCUCCGUUCUCGGUCUCUCCCUCUCUACACACGCGUGUUGCAGGCACACACAUACAUGCACACCUGCUCACACAUACGCACAUACACAUCCACACGCGCAUGCACACGCAUUUUCUAAACUGGCAAAGUACGAGUGGCAGCCGCGGUACCUUUUUACCACUAAGGACUUGGUGUGUAUUUCCUGAAGACAAGGACUCACUUCUCUUACGUAGUCAUAACGUGGUGAUGGAAAUCAGGACGCACACGUGAGGACAGUGUGGCCAUGUGAUGUUCAGGCCGUCCUGAGGUUUUGUGAGUUGGCCCAAUGAUGUCCUUUACAGUGAAAGGAACCAGGGUCACCGAGCUGCGGGACUCAUCAUGUUUGCUUAGCUCCUCGGGUCUGAACAGUUUCUGAGACUUUGUAUUUCACAACAUCAACAUUCUUGACAAAUGCAAGCCAGUUAUUUGGCGACUUUCCAUCCGUUUGGGUUUGCCCGACCUUUCUAGUGACCUUCGGGUUAUACACCCGUGGCAGGAAAACCCCAAUGUGAUGCUGAGUCCUCGUGUGUCCCGUUGGGAGGUACGCGUGUCGACCUCGUCAGUCCCCCACCCGGCAGUGUUCACUCCAGCCCCGGGAUGAGGGUGACGGUGGCACCCGCCAGGCUUCCCCUGUAAAGUCGCUGGCCCGUUCACCUUCCGCAGUCGGCGGUGUCUGACUUUGAGACCUUGUUCACCCCUUUCACCCCUAGACUGAUCUCCUAGUUCAGCCUUCAUUGGUACUUUUUACCCUGACGGUUGCUACAUGGUGACUGACCUCUUGGUAUCAGAGCAGAUUCAUCGAGCCUGGCCGUGUCCGGGAGGGUACUGAGAAGGGCCCCGACCUGGCCAAGUGGGAGCCCCUCCAGGCUGACUCCGCUGCCCCUUCACACGUCUCUGUCGAUCUGUGGCCGCAUUUGGUAUAAAAAGGUUUCUUGGCACAAGUGAUCAGACGCACGUGUAUCUUGUCAUGAGAGAUCCGUUCCCCGCUCGAAGGGUAGCCGUCACGGACCGUCUUUGUGCACCGGCCUUUUGCACGGAGCAGGGUGUCUCAGCACCGCCUGCUGGCGUUUAGAGAGGGGUGCACACGGAGGCUCACUCUUUCUUCCUUCUUCCAAGUGCUCCCAGUUGACUCGGCCGCUCUCCUACAUGGACCUGCAGAACCAGCUGCAGUUUAACAGGAGUGUUCCUGCACAUUCCAGUAACUUGGCCGCGCGCUAUUCCUGCCCCGACGCGAUCAGAAUCGAGAAACUGACGCACUCGUCCGGCGAGUCCUACCGUGGCGGGGAUCCGGGCCUCAGAGCCGGGCCUGACGUGAGCGGCUCGGCCUCCUUCUCCGUCAUCUCCGAGGAGAGGCUCAGCUAUGCCGUCCACCUGGCCAAGAGGGAUGUGAGGCGCAGGCAGUUCGAACAGCACGUGAGACAGCAGCGUCUCAGAAGCGAGCCCCAAACCUCUCAGAGGUGGGGACACCCCGAGCACAAGGUGCCUGAGCACAGGGAACAGAGGAAGGAGGCAAGGAGCCGGGAAAUGUGUCACUGCAGCCACGAGACGUGCGGGCAGGGAGCUUCCUGCUCGGGUGCGAAGGUUCACCUGUGUACCCCUCAGCCGGGGCAGCCCCCUGCCCUGGAGCCGGGGCCCCAGCCGCACACCAGGACAGGUGGCCCGCGGGGCCUGCUGGGGGUGCAGAGACUCCAGGAGGAGCUGACCACUUGCGUCCGUAGGAUGGAAGAAGUAAUUAAAAGAGAUAGAACGGAAGAAGCUUUGGAACCGGAUGAGGAGCAGCGAGCCCGCGUCAGGAGGCAGGAACAGGCCGUGCGCUGUGCCCGGAUGCUGUACUCCCUGCAGCAGCAGGUGAAAGAAAUCCAGGAAGAAUUGGAUAAAUUGAGUCCACGUAAGAUUAAACAUACCGAGAAGUCGUGGGCGAUGUCCCGGCUGGCGGCUGCCCACCGAAGCGCCAUCCGGGCCCUGCAGGUGUUUGUGACCCAGUUCGCCGACCGCGGGGAGCGGCCCCUCCCUGCCCGGUGCAGGGAGCUGGGCGGCCUCAUUCGCCAGCUCUCGCUCUGCUCCGCCAAGCUGGACGCCGACUCCUCUGUGUCCGAGGUGGUCAUAGACAUCCUGCGGCAGAUCGAGGCUUUGGAGUCCCUCCUGGAAAAGAAACUGUCACCAAAAAAGGUGAAGAAAUGUUUCCCGGAAGUUCAGACCAGGUUUCCCGUUGGUGGCCACAGGGCCUUGGAGAGAUGGCGGAGUUCUUCGCCAAAAGGCGAGAGGAGACCCCUCCUAGCAAAGGAGAUACUUCUGCAGGACGCGCGACAACCUUCCAGGGCAAACAGGCUUCUUGCUGAUAAGUGUCAGCCUGGGGCAGCACCUGCAGCGACCCAGCGGUCCGCGAACGGGAACGGGCUUGGUGUGAGGGGCGCGGACAUCCGUCCGGAAGGGGCCCCUCCUGCUCCGGACCACAGCGCGAGCCUCCCGGCAGAGCCCGUGGCCGUGGCGAGAGCGGGAGCAGCGGCCUGGAGGCCCGGGGCGGGGAGCAUACCGCCCAGGAAGAAGGAGGCACCGGUGGGGCCGCCGCAGGGACCCCUCAGAGCUGAGGACCGUCGGCCGCCCCAAGGCCGCGGCAAAAGCAGACUGCAGCGCACGACCGUGUCAUCCAGGCUGAAAAGGAGCCAGCAGCCAGUGAGGGACCUCAGGGCACCCUGGGUGCCUCCAAACCCCACGUCCCCACCAGCGUCCCCCAAAUGUGCCGCCUGGCUGAAGGUGAGGCCCGGCCCCAGAGAUGCCGCCAGGGAGCGGUCUGUCCAGCAGGAAGAGGCUCAGGAGGCCAGUGCGUUGACAGGUGCUGUUGCACACGAAGCCAUGAGACUCGCCUGGCUUGACGCUGAAGCUCACAAAACACUGAAGGAGCUGGAGGAGGUGAAAGCCGCGGGCGCGGACGGCGCGCACAGGCAGAGUGACUCUGCUGCCCAGUUAGCAGACAAGGUAGAGAAGGCGGUUCUGGAGCGUCUGAAGCCUCUCCUGGUCAAGGCCCAGAGAGUCAACUCUUCUCUGGAAGCGGAGGUGCCGAAGGACCGGCCGCCGGCAGACACGGCGACAGCCCGGCCUACGGAUGAGGCUGUGGCCGCGGACGGGGGGCCCGGCAGCCUCCGCCAGCAGGGCGACUGUCUGGAAGGCACCGCGCUCCGCUGUGACGUCUUGGCGUCGCAAGCCCGGGCCCCCGGGGCAGGCGGCAGGGACAGCCCGUUUCUGGACACCAUGAUGCUGCGCAUGGAGGAGAUGGAGAAAUACCAGGAGAUGGUUCGCCGAAGAUACAAUGAAAUUGUAUAUGCUGAUCCCCGUCUGUGGACGCAGGAAGGGAAGAGUGAGCAGACGCUCCCGGCGGUAGGUGAAAGGCCUCUCUCUCCUCAUCCAGUCGGGACCACAAAGAGCCCCGCGCGCAAAGACCCGGGCGCGAGCAUCGUGUUGGAAAGACCUCGCAAUGGCAGCUCCCUGGAUGCGAGUGUGGACGCUGGCGAGGAGUCUGAGAAGAGGGAGGCUCCCCUUCCGCCCCUUCCGGAAGAGUCUCUGCGGCAGGAAGGCCGCACCGCCCUCCUGGUGCCCCCGGGCAUGCGACGCAGCAUCCGCGACUCCUGCAGCCGCUUCGAGCAGUAUCUCCGCAUGACCGCGCACGAGGCCGUGGGCGCCUUCAACCCCUGGCUGAUGGCCGAGAGGGACACAGACGUUCGUCUGACGGCGGGAGCUCCCGGCUGUGAGGACGGGGCCUGUCGUGGCAUGUGGGUGAGGCGUGUGCGCACACAGCAGAAGGCACGUCAGGGCGUCGCCGUGGAAAGGCGUGUGAGCAGCACAGACGGUUCCAGAGGGCUCAUCAGGCCCCUUCCCGCGUCAGAAGAAAGAACGGCUACCAGGAUAACUCAGGACACAAGCUACGUUGAGAGGGGAGCACGCCUGCGGGAAGGCUUCCGGAAGCUGCCGGCUGAUGCGGAGGGGCCCGGGGUCCCGGAGAAGCCGGCGGAGGCCCCCCCAAGAACGUUCACCGGGACACGUUCACCGUGGGAAACGGUAAACGGGUGCGGUUCGGGCCGGUCAGAAACGGUCCCGGAAGAGAGGUGGGCCACACGGGAGCCACGGAGGUGUCCGAGGUCAGCGCGCAGGGAAGCGAACGUGUCUCCCCGGAGCGUGCAGACCAGCACCCCACGGAGCGUCCGCGCUGCUCCGAGGCCCACGGCUUGUCUGGGAAAACCAUUGGAACGUCCGCGGUCGGGCUGGCCGGAGGUCAGGGGCGGCGCUGAGGUCCGGGGACUGUCGGUUAGGGAAGCGUGGCGUGCGUGACGUCCAGGCUAGCGGCCAGGACGAAACGUAAGUGAAAGACCCCCCGAGAUCAGAGGCAGGCAAGGAAGGAGAGCGAACGGACAGAGAACAGCGUCUCAGGAGGAGGAGCUCGGGUGUGUCAGAAUUGCCUCCGGCAGCGCCGAGCACGCGGCUCUGAGCGCCCUUCUGCCGGCCGGGCUGCUGGGGCCCCUUCGGGCUGAGGCCGCGAGCCUGAAGGACGUGCCGGGAGGGGGGGUCCGAGCUCGGGGCCGUCCAGGGGACAGGUGCUCUGGCCGGCGCGGGGCGCUGAGCCUCGGGAAGUGCCGGGUUCGAGCGUGCGGGGCCGCGUCCACACGGGAGCGAGCGAAGGAAGGACCGCGUGGGGAGGGCUCUGCGUCACAGCGCAGCCGUUGCGCGGCCGGCGGGCGGCUGACUCGGGCACGUGGCAGGAGAAGGUCUCGAGGCCCCCUGCGAUCGUGCAGCCGUGCCCGGGGUCCGCGGGGGGAGCGGCGGUCUCACUGCAGGUGAGAAGAGUCGCCGUCAGUGGCAAGACAGACGGACGGACGCACUGAGGGGACCCAGCGGCCCCUCUGCGGCCUUGUUCCAAAGGCAGAUGAGCUGAGCGACUGCGAAGAAACCUCAGAGGAGCCCAGAUCGGGGGUCGUUCCCCAGGGGAGGGCCUUGCCGUUUGGAAAAUGGCAAGGUCACGAGAGGCAGGCCGAGGGAGGCUCCCAGGCUCAGGCUUCUCGGACGAGCUGGUGGACGAGGCUCUGGGCGCUGUGGCCGCGGAGCUGGAGGACACGUGUGAGGACUACGCGGAAGCCGUGUUCACGUCGGAGUUCUUGGAGGCCGCCGCUUGAAGCCCGUCUCUGUGGCGGGCCUCCUCCCCGGGGCCCAUGGGUGGCCUUGGCCUCGGCUGUCCCUCCGGGCAGGGCCGCUGCCCUCGGAGAGGAAGGACGUGCGUCUCCGCGUCGUCGUGGCGGUGGAGCCGGUGGUUGAUGACGGUGGGUGUUCAUCGGUGCCCAGGAACCGUGAAUCGCCUGAUGAGACGGUGUUUUCCAAACUGUGGUUUUUCUGUUGAGAUAUCAGUGACGCGAGCGUCCUGGCAGGUGGUGGAAGACGUGUUUCACUCCCGGGGUCGAGAUGCUCCCAUCACCCCCCGUCACCCGGCCGUGAGCCUGCCAGUCCCCCGUGUGCGGCACCUCCUCUGGCUCUCAGCCCCUCGUGGUCCCCGGCCUCGCCCUGGGGGGGGCGUAUGGACGCAGACCUUGAAUUGAGGGGCCGGGAGGGCGCCCAGCUCACGUCCCUUCUGCGGGGUCGCGCCUCCCCCGCCUCCAGACCCACCGAGCAGCCUGGGUGGGAGGACGGAUGGGCCUGGAUGUGCUGCCCGCCCCCCCCCCCCCCCCAAGAAAGGAAGACACCUGAGAGCCGGGGCGCUCGGUGCCCUCGUCCCUCCUCUCCUCUCCCCUCCCCUCUCCGUCAGGAUUCACCAAGAGGAAAGCCUCUGAUUUUUCAGAAACGGAAAAGGCACGUGCGUGAGUUUUCCUUGACCGGAGCCCUGCUGAGGACCCACCCAAGGGGAGGAUUCGCGCCCAGGAUAACGUGCGUCUUCAUGACACACACGGCGUCACGUCUGGGACUUUUCUCCCAAGUACACGUGUUUCGGGGAGCGGUGCACCUGCCCCGUCACACGACCUGUGCAAAAUUGGGCUUUGUUUCGUGUGCGCACGCUCCUAAACGUGACACAGCCUCCUAAGGGAAAGUGCUCCCAGGUUACUGGAAGGUCUUCGAGGCGAGGGCGCGUGUGCACUUGGCAGGGCGUCUGCCGUCUGUAGCUGGAGUCGUUUGUGUGCUAGCGUUUGCUGUGAUUUGUAAAAUAAACUCAGGAUCUUAAAGGA